This 427-nucleotide ribosomal RNA is filed under the name uncultured bacterium. RNAcentral describes it as "partial 16S ribosomal RNA". It matches the Rfam family "Bacterial small subunit ribosomal RNA", at positions 355 to 774 of the family's 1533-position model. The record is from RNAcentral.
UGGGGAAUAUUGGACAAUGGGCGAAAGCCUGAUCCAGCCAUGCCGCGUGUGUGAAGAAGGUCUUCGGAUUGUAAAGCACUUUAAGUUGGGAGGAAGGGCAUUAACCUAAUACGUUAGUGUUUUGACGUUACCGACAGAAUAAGCACCGGCUAACUCUGUGCCGGCAGCCGCGGUAAUACAGAGGGUGCAAGCGUUAAUCGGAAUUACUGGGCGUAAAGCGCGCGUAGGUGGUUUGUUAAGUUGGAUGUGAAAUCCCCAGGCUCAACCUGGGAACUGCAUUCAAAACUGACUGACUAGAGUAUGGUAGAGGGUGGUGGAAUUUCCUGUGUAGCGGUGAAAUGCGUAGAUAUAGGAAGGAACACCAGUGGCGAAGGCGACCACCUGGACUAAUACUGACACUGAGGUGCGAAAGCGUGGGGAGCAAACA